RNAcentral lists this ribosomal RNA (5148 nucleotides) under Triticum aestivum (bread wheat). Its description in RNAcentral is "partial small subunit ribosomal RNA". Lineage: Eukaryota; Viridiplantae; Streptophyta; Magnoliopsida; Poales; Poaceae. The record is from RNAcentral.
AUGGCGGCGGCCAACGCCCCCAUCGCCAUGCGUGAGGCGCUCACGCUGACGAGCCUGGGGAUCGCGCCACAGUUCGUCACCUUCACCCAUGUCACCAUGGAGUCGGACAGGUACAUCUGCGUCCGGGAGACCUCGCCGCAGAACAGCGUCGUUAUCAUCGACAUGGCCAUGCCCAGCCAGCCCCUCCGCAGGCCUAUCACCGCCGAUUCCGCGCUCAUGAACCCCAACACUAGGAUCCUCGCGCUCAAAGCCCAAAUAGCUGGAACGACGCAGGAUCACUUGCAGAUCUUCAAUAUUGAAGCUAAAACAAAAGUAAAGUCGCACCAGAUGCCUGAGCAGGUUGUGUUCUGGAAAUGGAUCACCCCCAAGUUGUUGGGCUUGGUAACACAGACAUCUGUUUAUCACUGGUCAAUUGAAGGAGAUUCUGAACCCACCAAGAUGUUUGAUAGGACAGCUAAUCUGGCCAAUAAUCAGAUUAUUAACUACCGUUGUGACCCGGCAGAGAAGUGGCUCGUGCUUAUUGGAAUUGCACCUGGUGCUCCUGAGAGGCCGCAGUUGGUGAAGGGAAAUAUGCAACUUUUCUCUGUUGAUCAGCAGCGUAGCCAGGCACUUGAAGCCCAUGCAGCAUCUUUUGCAACUUUUAAGGUUCCUGGCAACGAGAAUCCAUCAACACUCAUCUGUUUUGCCUCGAAGGCAACUAAUGCUGGACAGAUUACUUCUAAGUUACAUGUUAUUGAACUGGGGGCCCAGCCAGGGAAACCUGGUUUUUCCAAGAAGCAAGCCGAUCUCUUCUUCCCACCAGAUUUUCAGGAUGAUUUUCCUGUAGCCAUGCAGAUCUCUCAAAAGUAUGGACUUGUUUAUGUAAUUACGAAGCUUGGCCUUUUGUUUGUGUAUGACUUGGAAACUGCUGCAGCAGUUUAUAGAAAUAGAAUCAGUCCAGAUCCUAUAUUCUUGACAGCAGAGUCUUCUACAACUGGUGGAUUUUAUGCCAUCAACAGAAGAGGGCAGGUCUUACAUGCCACAGUUAAUGAUGCGACUGUUGUGCCUUUUGUCAGCGGCCAAUUAAAUAACCUUGAGCUAGCUGUGAAUCUUGCCAAAAGAGCUAACCUUCCUGGGGCGGAGAACUUGGUUGUGCAAAGAUUUCAGGAACUGUUUUCACAAACAAAAUACAAGGAAGCGGCGGAGCUCGCCGCAGAAUCCCCUCAGGGUCUUCUGCGAACCCCUGAGACUGUCGCAAAAUUUCAGAGUGUUCCUGUUCAAGCUGGGCAAACGCCUCCACUGUUGCAGUACUUUGGCACAUUGCUAACUCGAGGGAAGCUCAAUGCUUAUGAGUCCCUUGAGUUAUCUCGACUUGUUGUCAAUCAGAACAAAAAGAACCUUCUAGAAAAUUGGUUGGCAGAAGACAAGUUGGAAUGCAGUGAAGAGCUAGGAGAUCUUGUUAAGACGGUAGACAAUGACCUUGCAUUGAAAAUAUACAUAAAGGCUAGGGCAACGCCUAAAGUUGUUGCUGCUUUUGCCGAAAGGAGGGAGUUUGACAAGAUCCUUAUAUAUUCAAAGCAGGUUGGAUACACUCCCGAUUACCUUUUCCUCCUCCAGACCAUCCUACGUACAGAUCCACAGGGAGCUGUAAAUUUUGCUCUCAUGAUGUCACAAAUGGAGGGUGGUUGUCCAUUAGAUUAUAAUACCAUAACCGAUCUCUUCCUUCAGAGAAAUAUGAUACGAGAGGCAACAGCUUUUCUGCUGGAUGUUCUGAAACCAAACUUGGAAGAGCAUGCUUUUCUGCAAACCAAGGUUUUGGAGAUCAACUUGGUGACUUACCCUAAUGUUGCUGAUGCCAUCCUUGCUAACGGUAUGUUCAGUCAUUACGACCGCCCACGCAUUGCUCAACUGUGUGAAAAGGCUGGUUUGUACUUGCGAGCCCUCCAGCACUAUGCAGAGUUGCCUGAUAUCAAACGUGUCAUUGUAAAUACCCAUGCCAUUGAACCACAGGCACUCGUUGAGUUCUUUGGAACCCUUUCAAAAGAAUGGGCACUAGAGUGCAUGAAAGACCUUCUACUGGUCAAUCUGAGAGGAAACCUUCAAAUAGUUGUGCAGGCCGCCAAAGAAUACUCUGAGCAGCUAGGUGUCGAUGGUUGCAUAAAACUAUUUGAGCAAUUUAAAUCUUAUGAGGGCCUGUACUUUUUCUUGGGAUCCUAUUUGAGCUCCAGUGAGGAUCCAGAUAUCCACUUCAAGUACAUAGAAUCAGCUGCAAGGACUGGACAAAUCAAAGAAGUUGAGCGUGUAACCAGAGAGUCUAAUUUCUAUGAUGCUGAGAAGACAAAGAACUUUCUGAUGGAAGCAAAACUACCUGAUGCCCGACCACUGAUUAAUGUUUGUGACCGCUUUGGUUUUGUUCCAGAUCUAACUCACUAUCUGUACACGAAUAACAUGCUCAGGUAUAUUGAAGGCUAUGUACAGAAGGUUAACCCUGGGAAUGCUCCAUUGGUAGUGGGGCAGCUACUUGAUGAUGAGUGCCCUGAAGAUUUCAUUAAGGGUUUGAUUCUAUCUGUCCGCUCUCUCCUUCCUGUUGAGCCACUAGUUGACGAGUGCGAGAAGAGGAACCGCUUACGUCUGCUUACACAAUUCUUGGAGCACUUAGUGAGCGAGGGUAGCCAAGAUGUGCAUGUCCAUAAUGCUCUUGGGAAAAUUAUCAUCGACAGCAACAACAACCCAGAGCAUUUCCUUACUACCAAUCCAUUUUAUGACUCUCGUGUGGUUGGUAAAUACUGUGAAAAGCGGGAUCCUACACUUGCUGUUGUUGCUUACAGGCGUGGACAAUGUGAUGAUGAACUUAUUAACGUCACUAACAAAAACUCACUUUUCAAGCUGCAAGCUAGGUAUGUGGUUGAAAGAAUGGAUGGUGAUCUUUGGGAUAAAGUUCUACUGCCUGAAAAUGAAUACAGAAGGCAGUUCAUUGACCAAGUUGUUUCUACCGCACUGCCUGAAAGCAAGAGCCCUGAGCAAGUUUCUGCUGCUGUUAAGGCUUUCAUGGAAGCUGACCUCCCGCAUGAGCUGAUUGAACUUCUUGAAAAGAUUGUCCUCCAGAAUUCUGCAUUCAGUGGAAACUUUAAUCUUCAGAACCUGCUCAUCUUGACAGCCAUUAAGGCAGACCCAUCCAGGGUCAUGGACUAUGUUAACAGACUGGACAACUUUGAUGGCCCUGCUGUCGGAGAAGUAGCUGUCGAGGCACAACUGUAUGAGGAGGCUUUUGCCAUAUUUAAGAAGUUCAACUUAAAUGUUCAGGCUGUCGAUGUUCUGUUAGAUAACAUCCAAAGCAUAGAAAGAGCUGAAGAGUUUGCAUUCCGUGUUGAAGAAGAUGCUGUUUGGAGCCACGUUGCCAAGGCCCAGUUGCGUGAAGGUCUAGUCAGUGAAGCAAUUGAGUCAUUCAUCCGUGCAGAUGACGCAACACAUUUCCUUGAUGUCAUCCGUGCUGCUGAGGAAGCUGAUGUAUACCAUGAUCUUGUCAAGUACUUGCUGAUGGUAAGGCAAAAGGCAAGGGAGCCCAAAGUCGAUGGAGAACUCAUCUUUGCAUAUGCAAAGAUUGAUAGGCUCAGCGACAUUGAAGAGUUUAUUCUUAUGCCAAAUGUUGCUAAUCUCCAAAAUGUUGGUGACCGGCUUUACGAUGAAGAACUUUAUGAAGCUGCAAAGAUCAUCUAUGCCUUCAUCUCUAACUGGGCUAAGUUGGCUGUCACCCUGGUCAAGCUGAAGCAGUUCCAAGGAGCUGUAGAUGCUGCUCGCAAGGCUAACAGCGCUAAAACAUGGAAGGAGGUCUGCUUUGCUUGUGUUGAUGUUGAGGAGUUCCGUCUAGCACAAAUAUGCGGUCUCAAUAUCAUCAUUCAGGUUGAUGACUUGGAAGAAGUGAGUGAAUACUAUCAGAACAGAGGAUGCUUCAAUGAACUUAUUUCUCUCAUGGAGAGUGGUCUUGGACUUGAGCGUGCGCACAUGGGCAUCUUUACAGAACUUGGAGUCCUUUAUGCUAGAUACCGCCCUGAGAAGCUCAUGGAACACAUCAAGCUUUUCUCCACCCGGCUGAAUAUUCCUAAGCUUAUCCGUGCUUGUGAUGAACAACAACACUGGAAAGAGCUUACGUACCUAUACAUCCAAUAUGAUGAAUUUGACAAUGCUGCUACCACUAUUAUGAACCAUUCUCCAGAUGCAUGGGAUCAUAUGCAAUUUAAGGAUGUUGCUGUUAAGGUCGCAAAUGUUGAGAUAUAUUACAAGGCUGUGCACUUCUAUUUGCAAGAACACCCUGAUCUCAUCAAUGAUCUUCUCAAUGUGCUUGCGCUUCGCUUGGAUCACACAAGAGUUGUAGACAUAAUGCGCAAGGCUGGUCAGUUGCAUCUUGUGAAACCAUACAUGGUUGCUGUUCAGAGCAACAAUGUCUCUGCUGUCAAUGAAGCAUUGAAUGAGCUUUAUGUUGAGGAGGAGGACUAUGAGAGGCUCCGUGAGUCAGUUGACAUGCAUGAUAACUUUGAUCAGAUAGGUCUUGCCCAGAAGCUUGAGAAACAUGAAUUGCUUGAGAUGAGGAGGAUUGCUGCCUACAUUUACAAGAAAGCUGGCAGAUGGAAGCAAUCUAUUGCCCUAUCGAAGAAAGACAACAUGUACAAGGAUUGCAUGGAAACAUGCUCACAGUCUGGUGACCGUGAGCUGUCGGAGGAUUUACUCGUCUAUUUUAUCGAGCAGGGAAAGAAAGAAUGUUUUGCUUCUUGCCUCUUCAUUUGUUACGACUUGAUUCGUGCGGAUGUUGCUCUCGAGCUUGCAUGGACAAACAACAUGCUGGACUUUGCUUUCCCCUACCUAUUACAGUUCAUCCGUGAGUACACAAGCAAGGUAGAUGAUCUGGUGAAGGACAGGAUUGAAUCGCAGAAAGAAGAAAAAGCCAAAGAGCAGGAAGAGAAGGACGUCGUUGCUCAGCAGAACAUGUACGCUCAAUUACUCCCUCUCGCCUUGCCUGCUCCGCCUGGUAUGGGGGGUCCACCUCCGAUGGGCGGGAUGGGUAUGCCUCCAAUGGGCGGGAUGGGUAUGCCUCCGAUGGGUGGGAUGGGUAUGCCUCCGAUGGGUCCUGGUCCGAUGCCGGCAUAUGGGAUGCCUCCAAUGGGAAACUACUGA